GACAGAGGGUGCAAACGUUGCUCGGAAUUACUGGGCGUAAAGCGCGUGUAGGUGGAUUGGUGUGUCAGAUGUGAAAUCCCUGGGCUCAACCCAGGAACUGCACCUGAAACUACCAGUCUUGAGUGGUGGAGAGGGAAGUGGAAUUCCUGGUGUAGAGGUGAAAUUCGUAGAUAUCAGGAGGAACACCAGUGGCGAAGGCGGCAUUCUGGACCGAUAUUGACGCUGAGGAGCGAAAGCCAGGGGAGCAAACGGG
This 253-nucleotide ribosomal RNA is filed under the name uncultured bacterium. RNAcentral describes it as "partial 16S ribosomal RNA". It matches the Rfam family "Bacterial small subunit ribosomal RNA", at positions 524 to 776 of the family's 1533-position model. The record is from RNAcentral.